AUGAGAAACAACACUCUUUAAUAGACAUUCAAUACAUGUAAGCAUGUUUAUUAAGUUAAGUGGCUCUCCUCUUAGAUUCCUUUUUUGGUUGUCGAUGACGAAUCAAAUUUACAUUGGCACUUGUGAGUCAUAGGCACAAAUUUUGACACAUAAAAGAACAAUCUCUAGUUGAGUUACACACCAACUUUAAAACAUGUCCCCUUGUUUUGGCUCCAAUAUAUAACUAUAA
Molecule: long non-coding RNA, 229 nt
Filed under: Carica papaya (papaya)
Lineage: Eukaryota; Viridiplantae; Streptophyta; Magnoliopsida; Brassicales; Caricaceae
Description: long non-coding RNA (CPAP_LNC014709)
Source: RNAcentral